Molecule: non-coding RNA, 983 nt
Filed under: Trichomonas vaginalis G3
Lineage: Eukaryota; Parabasalia; Trichomonadida; Trichomonadidae
Description: Eukaryotic small subunit ribosomal RNA
Rfam family: Eukaryotic small subunit ribosomal RNA
Source: Rfam by way of RNAcentral
UACCGUCGGACUGCGGGAGAAGGCGCCUGAGAGAUAGCGACUAUAUCCACGGGUAGCAGCAGGCGCGAACUUUUCCCACUCGAGACUUUCGGAGGAGGUAAUGACCAGUUCCAUUGGUGCCUUUUGGUACUGUGGAUAGGGGUACGGUUUUCCACCGUACCGAAACCUAGCAGAGGGCCAGUCUGGUGCCAGCAGCUGCGGUAAUUCCAGCUCUGCGAGUUUGCUCCCAUAUUGUUGCAGUUAAAACGCCCGUAGUCUGAAUUGGCCAGCAAUGGUCGUACGUAUUUUUACGUUCACUGUGAACAAAUCAGGACGCUUAGAGUAUGGCCACAUGAAUGACUCAGCGCAGUAUGAAGUCUUUGUUUUCUUCCGAAAACAAGCUCAAUGAGAGCCAUCGGGGGUAGAUCUAUCUCAUGACGAGUGGUGGAAUACUUUGACUCAUGAGAGAGAAGCUGAGGCGAAGGCGUCUACCUAGAGGGUUUCUGUCGAUCAAGGGCGAGAGUAGGAGUAUCCAACAGGAUUAGAGACCCUGGUAGUUCCUACCUUAAACGAUGCCGACAGGAGUUUGUCAUUUGUUAAUGGCAGAAUCUUUGGAGAAAUCAUAGUUCUUGGGCUCUGGGGGAACUACGACCGCAAGGCUGAAACUUGAAGGAAUUGACGGAAGGGCACACCAGGGGUGGAGCCUGUGGCUUAAUUUGAAUCAACACGGGGAAACUUACCAGGACCAGAUGUUUUUUAUGACUGACAGGCUUCGGGUCUUUCAGGAUAUUGUUUUUGGUGGUGCAUGGCCGUUGGUGGUGCGUGGGUUGACCUGUCUAGCGUUGAUUCAGCUAACGAGCGAGAUUAUCGCCAAUUAUUUACUUUGCCGAAGUCCUUCGGUUAAAGUUCUAAUUGGGACUCCCUGCGAUUUUAGCAGGUGGAAGAGGGUAGCAAUAACAGGUCCGUGAUGCCCUUUAGAUGCUCUGGGCUGCACGCGUGCUACA